UACGGAGGGUGCGAGCGUUGUCCGGAAUCACUGGGCGUAAAGGGAGCGUAGGCGGGUGUUUAAGUUAGGUGUUUAAUCCUGGGGCCCAACCCCAGUCGUGCACCUAAAACUGGACAUCUUGAAUAGGGGAGAGGUCAGUGGAAUUGGAGGUGUAGCGCUGGAAUGCGUAGAGAUCUCCAAGAACACCAGUUGCGAAGGCGGCUGACUGGACCCAUAUUGACGCUGAGGCUCGAAAGCAUGGGGAGCAAACAGG
Molecule: ribosomal RNA, 253 nt
Filed under: uncultured bacterium
Lineage: Bacteria
Description: partial 16S ribosomal RNA
Rfam family: Bacterial small subunit ribosomal RNA
Source: RNAcentral